Molecule: ribosomal RNA, 253 nt
Filed under: uncultured bacterium
Lineage: Bacteria
Description: partial 16S ribosomal RNA
Rfam family: Bacterial small subunit ribosomal RNA
Source: RNAcentral
AACGUAGGAGACAAACGUUAUCCGGAGUUACUGGGCGUAAAGGGCGUGUAGGUGGUUUCGUAAGUCUGGCGUGAAAUUUUUCGGCUUAACCGGGAAAGGUCGUCGGAUACUGCAGAGCUAGAGGACGGUAGAGGCGUGUGGAAUUCCGGGUGUAGUGGUGAAAUGCGUAGAGAUCCGGAGGAACACCAGUGGCGAAGGCGACACGCUGGGCCGUACCUGACACUGAUGCGCGAAAGCAUGGGGAGCAAACAGG